AGUGGCGGACGGGUGAGUAAUGCUUGGGAAUCUGGCUUAUGGAGGGGGAUAACGACGGGAAACUGUCGCUAAUACCGCGUAGAGUCGAGAGACGAAAGUGCGGGACCGCAAGGCCGCAUGCCAUAGGAUGAGCCCAAGUGGGAUUAGGUAGUUGGUGGGGUAAUGGCCUACCAAGCCGACGAUCUCUAGCUGGUCUGAGAGGAUGACCAGCCACACCGGGACUGAGACACGGCCCGGACUCCUACGGGAGGCAGCAGUGGGGAAUAUUGCGCAAUGGGGGCAACCCUGACGCAGCCAUGCCGCGUGAAUGAAGAAGGCCUUCGGGUUGUAAAGUUCUUUCCGNAUUGAGGAAGGUUGUUNUGUUAAUAGCACGACAAAUUGACGUUAAAUACAGAAGAAGCACCGGCUAACUCC
This 414-nucleotide ribosomal RNA is filed under the name uncultured bacterium. RNAcentral describes it as "bacterial SSU rRNA". It matches the Rfam family "Bacterial small subunit ribosomal RNA", at positions 94 to 504 of the family's 1533-position model. The record is from RNAcentral.